CACGCCGUAAACGAUGUCGAUUUGGAGGCUGUGUCCUUGAGACGUGGCUUCCGGAGCUAACGCGUUAAAUCGACCGCCUGGGGAGUACGGCCGCAAGGUUAAAACUCAAAUGAAUUGACGGGGGCCCGCACAAGCGGUGGAGCAUGUGGUUUAAUUCGAUGAUACGCGAGGAACCUUACCAAGGCUUAAAUGGGAAAUGACAGGUUUAGAAAUAGACUUUUCUUCGGACAUUUUUCAAGGUGCUGCAUGGUUGUCGUCAGCUCGUGCCGUGAGGUGUUAGGUUAAGUCCUGCAACGAGCGCAACCCCUGUCACUAGUUGCCAUCAUUAAGUUGGGGACUCUAGUGAGACUGCCUACGCAAGUAGAGAGGAAGGUGGGGAUGACGUCAAAUCAUCACGGCCCUUACGCCUUGGGCCACACACGUAAUACAAUGGCCGGUACAGAGGGCAGCUACACAGUGAUGUGAUGCAAAUCUCGAAAGCCGGUCUCAGUUCGGAUUGGAGUCUGCAACUCGACUCUAUGAAGCUGGAAUCGCUAGUAAUCGCGCAUCAGCCAUGGCGCGGUGAAUACGUUCCCGGGCCUUGUACACACCGCCCGUCAAGCCAUGGAAGUCUGGGGUACCUGAAGUCGGUGACCGUAACAGGAGCUGCCUAGGGUAAAACAGGUAACUAGGGCUAAGUCGUAACAAGGUAACCGUA
Molecule: ribosomal RNA, 697 nt
Filed under: uncultured organism
Description: bacterial SSU rRNA
Rfam family: Bacterial small subunit ribosomal RNA
Source: RNAcentral